GUGCUAAAAAGAGUGGGAAUGAGCCACAGGAUAAUGUCUCAGCGACCUAACUACCUGACUUAGCGAUGGCAGCAUUUUGAAAGCCCAGCAAACAUACUAGGGAAGCCUGUUUCCAGGGGCUCGUUUCUGUGAAGUUAACACAUUCUACUUCAAGAAGCAAGGAACAGCCACAGCCAGCUACAGAAUCGUCACCGUUUUGUCCUUGGUUUUAAUUUUUGCAGCACUGAGUGGUGGAUGUGAAGCCAGCUACCCCCAGACAGGAGGAGUGAGUUCUGGUGUUCUGUCAUACAGAAAGGUGAGUGCAGGUAGUGAUAAUAUGCUCCAUGGUCUUAAACCGUCCAGAAGAGAGGGUUUUGAAUGUUUUCACUGUGAGGGAAUGUUCAAUGUUGGAGGAAACAUGUAUGUUUACCCUGAUCCAAACCUGCAUGGCAUAUACGUGUGUUAAGACAUCAUAUGGUACCCUAUAAUUAUGCACAAUUUUUAGGUAUCAGGCAAAAGUUCUUAAAAAAUGAGGAACGAAAGUUAACUGAAGCAGUGGAAAUCCAAAAUGAGGUAUAAAAUCAAGCCCUCCUCAAAUUCCCCAUAAUGGUAUUUCCUUGGGUUGUCUUCCCACUUAAGUUAGUGGAUUUCUUGAUCAUUUAGGUGACUGCUUUAUGUGAGACCAGGCUCUUCCUGGAUAUUUGAAGACCCAGAAUUUGAUGUGCAAAGAAAGUUGGUGACUUAACCCAAUGAGAGUCUUGCACGUUUCAGACACUAGGAGUCCGAGUUUUGAGUGGGGCGCUCCAUGUGCAGGGCUGUGCUAGGCUGGGCAGAAGACAGACAUGCUGGGGAGAGGAGAGUUAUGUUCCUGUGGCAAUGUGAGUUAAGAAGCAUGUUGGGCACCACUGCACUAAAGGAGACCCUGUGAACAAAUGCCAGCUCCUUAAAUCUCCUUGCACUUUCAUGCAUAAGACGAUGUCAGUGAUAAAUGACGUGGAAACUAAAACCCGGUGAAGUACUUCAGACAGUCUCUCUAGAAGUAAGCUGGUCACGUAGAGACCUAGGAGUCAACCUUUUCAAUCUGCAGGGAGCAGCCAAGAUCAUGACCUACAACCAAGGCAGGAGGGAAGGCUUAACUUGAAUAAAAGGAAAAGUGCUGCCA
This 1141-nucleotide long non-coding RNA is filed under the name Oryctolagus cuniculus (rabbit). RNAcentral's name for it is "lncRNA (ENSOCUG00000037552.1)". The record is from RNAcentral. Lineage: Eukaryota; Metazoa; Chordata; Mammalia; Lagomorpha; Leporidae.